CAAGUCGAGCGGAGAUGAGGUGCUUGCACCUUAUCUUAGCGGCGGACGGGUGAGUAAUGCUUAGGAAUCUGCCUAUUAGUGGGGGACAACAUUCCGAAAGGAAUGCUAAUACCGCAUACGUCCUACGGGAGAAAGCAGGGGAUCUUCGGACCUUGCGCUAAUAGAUGAGCCUAAGUCGGAUUAGCUAGUUGGUGGGGUAAAGGCCUACCAAGGCGACGAUCUGUAGCGGGUCUGAGAGGAUGAUCCGCCACACUGGGACUGAGACACGGCCCAGACUCCUACGGGAGGCAGCAGUGGGGAAUAUUGGACAAUGGGGGGAACCCUGAUCCAGCCAUGCCGCGUGUGUGAAGAAGGCCUUAUGGUUGUAAAGCACUUUAAGCGAGGAGGAGGCUACUGAGACUAAUACUCUUGGAUAGUGGACGUUACUCGCAGAAUAAGCACCGGCUAACUCUGUGCCAGCA
Molecule: ribosomal RNA, 461 nt
Filed under: uncultured bacterium
Lineage: Bacteria
Description: bacterial SSU rRNA
Rfam family: Bacterial small subunit ribosomal RNA
Source: RNAcentral